GGACUUCCAAUCUCCUCUUCUCUCUCUCUACUCUGAUCCUUCCAUCCUUGCAUGUAUAUUAUCAUCGCGAACUGCUGCUAAUCUGCAAAUUGUAAUUUUACUAAUCAGUAAUCAGUACAGUGGUGGUUGCAUCGAUUCGCAUUAAGAUUCUGUUCAUGCUUAUGCCUUUGCUGUGCUGGUUGUAACUGUGUCGCCAUUAGAGGUGACGCGACGGCGCGGAGGACAGGAAGGAGGUUAGGCCGUCUUUCUUUAUUGCGCGCCAUAUCUGUUUCGAUGUCGCCGUUGGUGUGUUUAGUGUACUUAUCUUUCUUACUGGCACUUAGCUACCGAUUCUUAUUCGUUUGCGUCCUUUUUGUAGCCUAGAUUUUGA
This 370-nucleotide long non-coding RNA is filed under the name Oryza sativa (Asian cultivated rice). Its description in RNAcentral is "long non-coding RNA (OSAT_LNC000809)". The record is from RNAcentral. Lineage: Eukaryota; Viridiplantae; Streptophyta; Magnoliopsida; Poales; Poaceae.